GCUCGCUGUGAUCGUCUAGCUGCCGUGCUCUCCCUUCGAAAAACCCUCCCCCCUCCUCCUCCUCCUCCAACUCAGCAUCACUCCGAUGGGAAGCACUGCGAACGGAUCGUGCGCUCCGACGGAGGGAGUGGCUGCCGCCGGCGCCACCGUGGACAAGGAGGUUGACUUCGCUAACUACUUCUGCACCUACGCGUUCCUCUACCAUCAGAAGGAGAUGCUUGCCGACCGCGUGCGUAUGGACGCGUACUUUAACGCCGUCUUCCAGAACAAGCACCACUUCAAGGGAAAAGUUGUGUUGGAUGUCGGCACAGGAAGCGGCAUCCUUGCUAUCUGGUGCGCGCAAGCCGGUGCGAGGAGGGUUUAUGCAGUCGAAGCUACAAAUAUGGCGGUACAUGCUCGUGAGCUUGCCAAAGGAAAUGACGUUGGUGAUAUUGUUGAAGUUAUUCAAGGGUCGAUGGAGGAGGUUGUGCUUCCGGAGAAAGUGGAUGUUAUCAUCUCUGAGUGGAUGGGAUAUUUUCUUCUCAGGGAGUCAAUGUUUGACUCUGUAAUAUGUGCACGUGACCGAUGGCUGAAACCUGAUGGAGUAAUGUAUCCUAGCCAUGCUCAAAUGUGGAUGGCACCAAUCAGAUCUGGUAUAGGAGAAAAAAAGGAAAAUGAUCUUGAAUCCGCAAUGAGUGAUUGGAAUAACUUUGUUGAAGAUACUGAAAGCUAUUAUGGGGUUAAUAUGAAUGUGCUGACAAAACAAUUCCGGGAAGAGCAUGAGAAAUACUAUUUGAAGACAUCAUUGUGGUGUAAUCUUCAUCCUGAACAAAUUGUGGGUGCUCCAGUGGUUAUCAAGCAAAUUGAUUGUUUGACUGCUACUGUAGAUGAAAUUCGCACAGUUUCCUCAAAGUUCUCGUCAUCUAUUUAUGUAGACAGGACAAGGUUGUCUGCCUUAGCUGGGUGGUUUGAUGUUCACUUCCGAGGUAACCCACAAAAUCCAGCAUUGAAUGAAAUUGAGUUGACCACAGCUCCCAGUGUUGAGAACUCCACACAUUGGGGUCAACAGGUAUUCCUUUUGCAACCCGCUCUCAGAGUCAAUGAGGGAGAUGUAUUCGAAACUUCCUUUUCCAUGCAUCGCUCGAAGGAAAAUCAUCGGCUUAUGAAUGUAGAUCUAACAUAUGAAUUGAAGCUGGCAUCUGGAAAUCAAGUUCCACCUUGCAGUUCUAAGUACUAUGUAGAAUGAGGCAGGGUUCAAACAGUUUUUGGAACACAGGACUGUUGCCUCUACUGUGAAGGCAGCAUUGCUGAGGUCAAUCGAAUGCGAGAUGUGUGUGCAUGCUUGUAUUUGUUUAGAUUGUGAGUGUUUGUUGGAAUGUGAACAAUUGCUGAGCAAAGGUGAAGGCAUUCUUGCUGGUGAUCAGGCUGCAAGAAAAAUAGCUUAUCACACAGUCAAGCCACAAGCAGCUGCUUCCUAAGGGUAACAAGUUGUGUUUCGCAUAUUCUUCAAGUUAUUAAUUUCAUCGACACAACAAUUGUGUUGAAAAAUAAUUUUUAUAAUAUAAUGGCAUCAUAAGGUUGUCAA
RNA transcript from Zingiber officinale, 1564 nucleotides. It is a transcript of the gene named protein arginine N-methyltransferase PRMT10-like, with no coding region annotated. NCBI's taxonomy places the organism in Eukaryota, Viridiplantae, Streptophyta, Magnoliopsida, Zingiberales, Zingiberaceae. The record is from RefSeq and is a predicted model, not a curated record. The transcript is spliced from 9 exons.